This 877-nucleotide ribosomal RNA is filed under the name Leuconostoc lactis. Its description in RNAcentral is "bacterial SSU rRNA". It matches the Rfam family "Bacterial small subunit ribosomal RNA", at positions 28 to 886 of the family's 1533-position model. The record is from RNAcentral. Lineage: Bacteria; Bacillati; Bacillota; Bacilli; Lactobacillales; Lactobacillaceae.
GAUGAACGCUGGCGGCGUGCCUAAUACAUGCAAGUCGAACGCACAGCGAAAGGUGCUUGCACCUUUCAAGUGAGUGGCGAACGGGUGAGUAACACGUGGACAACCUGCCUCAAGGCUGGGGAUAACAUUUGGAAACAGAUGCUAAUACCGAAUAAAACUUAGUGUCGCAUGACACAAAGUUAAAAGGCGCUUCGGCGUCACCUAGAGAUGGAUCCGCGGUGCAUUAGUUAGUUGGUGGGGUAAAGGCCUACCAAGACAAUGAUGCAUAGCCGAGUUGAGAGACUGAUCGGCCACAUUGGGACUGAGACACGGCCCAAACUCCUACGGGAGGCUGCAGUAGGGAAUCUUCCACAAUGGGCGAAAGCCUGAUGGAGCAACGCCGCGUGUGUGAUGAAGGCUUUCGGGUCGUAAAGCACUGUUGUAUGGGAAGAACAGCUAGAAUAGGAAAUGAUUUUAGUUUGACGGUACCAUACCAGAAAGGGACGGCUAAAUACGUGCCAGCAGCCGCGGUAAUACGUAUGUCCCGAGCGUUAUCCGGAUUUAUUGGGCGUAAAGCGAGCGCAGACGGUUUAUUAAGUCUGAUGUGAAAGCCCGGAGCUCAACUCCGGAAUGGCAUUGGAAACUGGUUAACUUGAGUGCAGUAGAGGUAAGUGGAACUCCAUGUGUAGCGGUGGAAUGCGUAGAUAUAUGGAAGAACACCAGUGGCGAAGGCGGCUUACUGGACUGCAACUGACGUUGAGGCUCGAAAGUGUGGGUAGCAAACAGGAUUAGAUACCCUGGUAGUCCACACCGUAAACGAUGAACACUAGGUGUUAGGAGGUUUCCGCCUCUUAGUGCCGAAGCUAACGCAUUAAGUGUUCCGCCUGGGGAGUACGAC